Non-coding RNA from Canis lupus familiaris (dog), 73 nucleotides. The record is from Rfam. Lineage: Eukaryota; Metazoa; Chordata; Mammalia; Carnivora; Canidae.
GCCUGGCUGGCUCAGUCAGUAGAGCAUGUGACUCUUGAUCUCAUGGUGGUGAGUUCAAGCCCCACAUUGGGCA